CGGGAGAGUAUUUUUUCAGUUAGCUCCUGAGUCAGUGUCGCUCUGCAUUCCUGCUCUUCUGAGGACCCCGAUUUAAAGGAAUGGUCUGCAACCCCAAAACCGCCCUCCUGCUCUUCGUGGCAACAACAUACGCAAUCGGAGCUGUGACGUCACAACCAAUCUGGCCCUCACAAGACGUUCUCGACAACCAGGACAACGGCCACGCAACGGUUCCCAUGUCACUCUGGCACCUCCCGUUGUUCUACCCAGAUCCCCUGGUAAGGAGCAACAACAACGUCCUGAAGAGGAACUCUGAAAUCCUGAACACCCUCCUGGGAUCGGGGGCCCUCAGCAACAUGAAGAACAACGGUAGGAGACGAUAAGUCAUCUCGGGGAUAUGACCAACCAGACUGGCCUUUUAUUUCCCACAACCGCUUCGCUAUAGUCAGCAGGCCUUAGAAAAAUAAAAACCAUGAAAAGGGGAACUUUGAAUAUCAUUCGCACAACAACAACGACAGCCGCAGCAGUGAUAAGAAAAUAAAUGUACUAUUACUUUUUACCAUUAUUCGAGCCGACAGCAACGACGUUAAUAGCAAAAAACACCAGCCACAAAAAUAAUAAAAUACUCUUUUAAUGCGCAUUAUUUCUUACCACAACCACAUACGCCAUUUCUUCCUCUAUUCUAAAUAUCCGUUUCAGUACAAGUAAUAUAAUGGCCUAUUCACACCA
This is a long non-coding RNA of Macrobrachium nipponense, 708 nucleotides long. RefSeq lists it as uncharacterized. The transcript has 3 exons. NCBI's taxonomy places the organism in Eukaryota, Metazoa, Arthropoda, Malacostraca, Decapoda, Palaemonidae. The record is from RefSeq and is a predicted model, not a curated record.